UACGGAGGGUGCAAGCGUUAUCCGGAUUCACUGGGUUUAAAGGGUGCGUAGGCGGGCAGGUAAGUCAGUGGUGAAAUCUCCGGGCUUAACCCGGAAACUGCCGUUGAUACUAUUUGUCUUGAAUAUUGUGGAGGUAAGCGGAAUAUGUCAUGUAGCGGUGAAAUGCUUAGAUAUGACAUAGAACACCAAUUGCGAAGGCAGCUUACUACACAAUGAUUGACGCUGAGGCACGAAAGCGUGGGGAUCAAACAGG
RNAcentral lists this ribosomal RNA (253 nucleotides) under uncultured bacterium. Its description in RNAcentral is "partial 16S ribosomal RNA". It matches the Rfam family "Bacterial small subunit ribosomal RNA", at positions 524 to 776 of the family's 1533-position model. The record is from RNAcentral.